RNAcentral lists this unclassified non-coding RNA (791 nucleotides) under Prototheca zopfii. RNAcentral describes it as "sequence contains 18S rRNA gene, ITS1, 5.8S rRNA gene, ITS2, 28S rRNA gene". The stretch from base 377 to 529 matches the Rfam family "5.8S ribosomal RNA". The record is from RNAcentral. Lineage: Eukaryota; Viridiplantae; Chlorophyta; Trebouxiophyceae; Chlorellales; Chlorellaceae.
GAUCAUUGCAUCAUCGAUUCACGAUCGUCCAGGGCCGCUCCCUCGCGCAGCCGGGGGAGAGGGGUUGCGGGGGGCGAAGCGGGGUUCGGGGGAGCGGAGGGGUUUUGCCCCUCCUCUUCGCCGCUCCGCGUCGCCUCUCCGCCUCUCUCUCUCCCUCUCUCUGCGCUCGGGUCCGCCCGCUCGCGCCCGGCCCUCGCUCGGCCUCGGGAAGCGCGUGCGGGCGGCGUCGGCCGCAUCCGACCCGUCCCGAAUUCGGCGAGAAAACCCCCUUUUCUUUUCGACCCAACGAAACGAAACUCGAAAACCGACCGUGCGCGGUGGGGCGAGCGCGUCUCGAGAGGGACCGGUCGCCUCCGCGCCUCAUCAAACCUAGAACAACUCUCAACGACGGAUGUCUAGGCUCCCGCAUCGAUGAAGAACGCAGCGAACCGCGAUACGUAGUGUGAAUUGCAGAGCCCGCGAAUCAUCGAAUCUUUGAACGCACAUUGCGCCCCGGACCUCGGUCUUGGGCAUGUCUGCCUCAGUGUCCCGCACAUCUGCACCCUCCUCUCCCCCUCCCCGGCUCUCCUUCGCGAGGGGCGGGGGCGGGAGCGCGCGAGGGCGCGAUCUGGCCGUCUCGACCCGCGAGGGUCGCGUCGGCCGAAGCGGAGCGCGAUCCGGGCCGCGACCCCUUCGCGGCCGCUCUCGGAGCUUUGACGGUGGUCCUCGCGAUCUUCGAUCUCAGCAGCUUCGAGCGGCGGUCCCGCCUGUGGGCGUCUGCGGCUCCGGGUUGCCCAAUGCCAGGAACCUGU